Long non-coding RNA from Grus americana (Whooping crane), 2958 nucleotides. RefSeq lists it as uncharacterized. The transcript is spliced from 4 exons. Lineage: Eukaryota; Metazoa; Chordata; Aves; Gruiformes; Gruidae. The record is from RefSeq and is a predicted model, not a curated record.
AAAGAGCUAAGUUGUGACUCUUGGCUUAAAAUUGUGUAAUAAUGGUGAAUGUUGAUUUUGAAUUACUUUACUACCUGAAGAUCAUUUUCAAAGUGACUGUUUCUUCUUAAGAAAGGAGCGUGCCUUUGGAGGAAGGAAGUGGAGGAAAAAACAGGCUUGGAAGGAACCCUAAAAUAUUCAGGAGGGAGCUGGAAGCCUGAACAGCAUAGCUGAAAGAAAGAAAUGAAAGGAAGUAGAAGUGGGGGCGAAAAGACAAGCUUGUCAGGACCACAGCUACCCUCAUCUGAUGUUAAGACUGCAGUUCCUCACCUCAGAAGAAGGGACGGUUGCAUCACAGGGCUUUGUAGGAGCUGAGGAUGACACUGGAGAGGACAAGAAGGACCGAGUGUUUGUAUAAGUGCAAAAUAAGAGCAAAAUAAGGGCGAUGGAGAGCAGGAAACUCGCAGAGGCUGGACGGCUUCAUUCUCCCUUGGAACAAGGACACCCUUGGUCUGCCCAGCCCCAGAUGCACCUCUAAAGGAGAGGUUGUCAAAGGAUGUCUUAGAAGUGUAACAGUCGUUGCCUGCAGAGAUGCAGGCAGUAAGUGGAAGUAUAACAUCUAUGACUGCACAAUGUCCAUGAACAGAUGUCUCUCAAGUCACCUCAGUCCAUUGUGCAGCCUAAAUACUCGGGCCUCUGGUUGGACAGCAGGGUUAUGUUUGGUCAACGAAGUUGCCGAAUGCUUCAAAAAACAUUAGCAUCGGCUCCUCUGAGGAAUUACUUUGGUCCUGGUGCCACGGUGGUGCUUUACUCAUUGACUAAUUUCAGGAUCAAAGGCCACCAACAGAGCAGGGAUCUCAGAAGAAGACCUGAAGUACAAUUUAACAUUAGUCCUGCAGGCUCAGAGGACAGCCAGAAGGUAAAUUCUGAAAUACAAAUAUCAAGAGUUUAUAGAUAUUGUUCUGAAGAAUAUCUAUAAUAAUAUCUAUAGGUGUUAUUCUAACAUUCAAAAGGUCCCACUGUGCCUUGGUAUUGCUCUCACAUGAACAUUUAAAGUCAAUUCUCGAAUCCCCAGUUUUUUCACCACUCAUAAUUUUUUCUUCAUUACACAAUAAUUCCCUCUUCCAUACUAAUUCUCUCUCUCCCUUAGUCUAUUAAUCAUCAUAUUCCCAAAUCCCUACAGUAUAUGUGUUGUCCCAGUCCUCCCAUCUACCAUUCUCAUCCUUUUCCACUCCUCCAUUGUUUGUCUUCAUUCUCUAGUUAAUUCAGGAGAUGGGUAGCUGCGUGAAACAUUUGGGUUAGCUAACCCAGGCACGGGAAUCCCUAAAAGAAAACCACGGCUCUAUAACUGCUUCUAUUUCAGUAAUUCUUCUUACACAUCUGUGAAGGUAUAUUACAUACUUAUAUGUGUUAAUGCACCAGGAUUCAUCCUUAUACAACAGUGGAAAAACUAUCCCACGCGUGUGGAGCGUGGAGAGGGGACUUUGGGGAAGGUUACAACAGGCAUUUUGCUUUACCUCUCCUGGCAUGUUCUUUUAUUUAGCCUCAACAAAGCUCUGCGAGGCUUGAAACCAUGCUCUUAGUUAUUUUGAAUGUUUUGAAUGAACAAAGCAGAAAAAAAAAAAAAAGUACCUACUUUUUGCAUGGCUGCAAAGGGAACAGAAGGCAAGAAUUAGAUCUGUCAGCACCCAGAAAGGCUAAAGUACAGAGGGAUUUAUUGGCCGUUUGUAUAAACAGUGUCAGAGCACAACUUCAUCCUGGAGAGAUCCUGUCCCUAUUGCUCCUAAGUUUUUCUUCCCCCUUUUUUUAGAUCCUCUUCUUCAGCAUCUUUUCUUACUUUCCAAAUCCCUUCUUUUUAAAGACCACUCUUACACCCGUGCUUUUUUCCCCCCCCAUGUGCUUAUAUCUGCUUUGCUCAGGAGUAAAUCCUGUGGCUUCUCCUAUUUUCCAGCUGUUCAGUGCUUUUCAUGCUACCUCCCUCUAGACUGCGUUAUUUAAGAGAGCACCGGGAAGACACUUAGGAACUGAGGAAAGGAAAGGCAGUGAACAGCUUGAAGCGGUAAGCAGUGAAGAGAGUUUCAACAGCCAAGAAAGUAAAAUUGUGAGACAGAGGACAGAAUACUUAAAGAUGAAGCAGCUCAUCUUCAGUCCUUUUCCCAGCAACAUUUGCUUCCUACAGCUGAGUUUGGAUCGCACUAACAGUAACGUCUCUCCAAAUUAUUUCAGAAUAGCCCAACAUCCUAACGAGAAGGAGUAUUUCCAGUUCCUUAUUAGCAUUCCUAAGAAACCUAAGGCAAACCUUGCAGCAAAACCUGGCUCCAUAAAAAUCACAGAAGCAGAUGAUUCUGGCCAGCCUGAGAGAGGGGGGUACGAGUGCUCCUGCCUGCACCCAGCCACUCCAGCCUCAGAGCAUGCAAAUUUGAGUUGUAGAGGAGGACAGAGAUAAGGGAAACGCUGCUCCAAACGUAACACUCCCCAGUUGUAAAUGUUCCCUCUUUCCAUGCUGCUUCAGCGGUUAAAUUUUCAUCUCUCCUCAGACACUGAAAUAUACCCACAAAUUAGAGACUUCUAUACCUCAAAUGAAACUAAUAUAUACAGGGCAACAUUUUUACAAGUGAAACGAAUAGGCAGAGUCUGUGCAAACACUGAUCUCCAGAUAGGAUAACAUCAUAAACACUGGGAAAUAAAAUUAAUGGUUGAAUGAUAACAGUACUAAACUCCCAAGAAUAAUAAUCAGAUAUAGAUGUUUAACUGCCUGUGACUGAGGACUCCUAUCUCUUGUUAUAACUCACCUCCCUACAGAGUACGUGCCUCCUUCUAAAUAUAAUAUUUGAAAUUAUGAUUCAUGUGUACCUGAAUAUGAUAAAAUUUACAGAAAUUAAAGGCUUGAUUCUAAAAAAAAAUGGUAUGACUGGAAAGUAUAUUUUAAUCCUAAAACCAGAGAAGACUCUUUACACCAUUUUUGUUAGCUGUUUUGUC